GGAUAUUCUAAAUAGAGACAACAUCUUUAAAAGGCAUGGAGUGACUGCAAGCCAAGGAGUGAGGGCUCAGAAGAAACCAAAUCUGUCAACAUCUUGAUCUGGGACUCCUGGCCUCCAGACUGUGGGAAGAUAAAUUUAUGUUGGCCUUUGGUAACUUAUUAUGGCAGCCCGAGCUGACUACCACAGGAGGGGUCUCUGAGCUACCUGGAGGGAGAAGGGUCUGCACCUGGAGACUCCCACCUAAGAUAGGGGUUUAGAUGAGACCACUCUGGGAGGACACGCGGCCGAAUGUGGAGGCCCCACAGCCGAAUGUGGAGGCCCCGAGGAAGAUCAGCUCUGAAGACACAGGCAGGCAAAGGGCAGACCUCGAAGGAGAUGGAGGAGGAAUGACAGAGGGCAAGAAGAAUCAGGUGAGGGACUGCCACAAAAGCCAGUGACAAAAACUUCCAGAAGAGCUGUCAACAGUACCAAACAAAGCAGAAGAGUCUCAUAAGAUUAAAAAUAAAAUUUGCUUCCAUAAUCUGGUGACUGUCAGGGCACAAUGAGCCAAGGAAAAAACAGUUUUCCUGUACUGGUGAGAGCAGAAAGCAGAUUCCAGAGGACUGGAAGUUCUUAAGAGCUGUGGGAAUGGAGACAAGAAGUGUUUUGAUAAUUAGAUGAGGGUGCAGCAGUUUAAAGGAGAGAUUAUUAAGGAUAGGAGAGGCUGGGUGUGAUGGCUCGUGCCUGUGGUCCCAGCUACUUGCGAGGCUGAGGCGGCAGGAUCACCUGAGCUCCGGAGGCAGAGGUUGCAGUGAGCCGAAAUCGCGCCACUGAACUCCAGCCUGGGCAACAGAGCCAGACUCUGUCUCAAAAAAAAAAAAAAAAGAUGGGAGAAGUGUGAGCAUAGUCAGCAGUUAGAGGGAGAAGGAGAGGGAAGGGAGGGAGGGCGGAGGACAGAGGACCGUGGGUGACGACAGAGCCAGGUCCUGGUGGAGGAGGGCCUCAGGUAGCUGGUGCACUGGGCAGGGUCCCCAGGACAUUUCCGUUUUGGAGCUUCUGCCACCAAAGCAGAUGAAACUGAGAUUUUCCUCUCUCCUUAUCAGACACUUCCUUGAAGCGUGUAAGCUUUCAAUUUAAAAAUAAGAUGGUAUAUGGCUGGGCGCAGUGGCUCACGCCUGUAAUCCCAGCACUUUGGGAGGCCGAGGCACGCGGAUCACGAGGUCAGGAGAUCAAGACCAUCCUGGCUAACACUGUGAAACCCCGUCUCUACUAAAAACACAAAAAAUUAGCCGUGGUGUGGUGGCGGGCACCUGUAGUCCCAGCUACUUGGGAGGCUGAGGCAGGAGAAUGGAGUGAACACGGGAAGCGAAGCUUGCAGUGAGCUGAGAUUGCGCCACUGCACUCCAGCCUGGGAGAUAGAGCGACACUCCGUCUCAAAAAAA
Molecule: long non-coding RNA, 1421 nt
Organism: Pan troglodytes (chimpanzee)
Lineage: Eukaryota; Metazoa; Chordata; Mammalia; Primates; Hominidae
Exons: 3
Source: RefSeq, a predicted model, not a curated record